GAUGAACGCUGGCGGCGUGCCUAAUACAUGCAAGUCGAGCGAACGGACGAGAAGCUUGCUCCUCUGAUGUUAGCGGCGGACGGGUGAGUAACACGUGGAUAACCUACCUAUAAGACUGGGAUAACUUCGGGAAACCGGAGCUAAUACCGGAUAAUAUUUUGAACCGCAUGGUUCAAAAGUGAAAGACGGUCUUGCUGUCACUUAUAGAUGGAUCCGCGCUGCAUUAGCUAGUUGGUAAGGGAACGGCUUACCAAGGCAACGAUGCAUAGCCGACCUGAAAGGGUGAUCGGCCACCCUGGAACUGAGACACGGCCCAGACUCCUACGGGAGGCAGCAGUAGGGAAUCUUCCGCAAUGGGCGAAAGCCUGACGGAGCAAAGCCGCGUGAGUGAUGAAGGUCUUAGGAUCGUAAAACUCUGUUAUUAGGGAAGAACAUAUGUGUAAGUACCUGUGCACAUCUUGACGGUACCUAAUCAGAAAGCCACGGCUAACUACGUG
Molecule: ribosomal RNA, 497 nt
Filed under: uncultured bacterium
Lineage: Bacteria
Description: partial 16S ribosomal RNA
Rfam family: Bacterial small subunit ribosomal RNA
Source: RNAcentral